GACUAGCGUCGUUCGGAAUUACUGGGCGUAAAGCGCACGUAGGCGGAUCGAUCAGUCAGGGGUGAAAUCCCAGAGCUCAACUCUGGAACUGCCUUUGAUACUGUCGAUCUAGAGUAUGGAAGAGGUGAGUGGAAUUCCGAGUGUAGAGGUGAAAUUCGUAGAUAUUCGGAGGAACACCAGUGGCGAAGGCGGCUCACUGGUCCAUUACUGACGCUGAGGUGCGAAAGCGUGGGGAGCAAACAGG
This 244-nucleotide ribosomal RNA is filed under the name uncultured bacterium. RNAcentral's name for it is "partial 16S ribosomal RNA". It matches the Rfam family "Bacterial small subunit ribosomal RNA", at positions 533 to 776 of the family's 1533-position model. The record is from RNAcentral.